GAUGAACGCUGGCGGCGUGCCUAAUACAUGCAAGUCGAGCGAACAGACGAGGAGCUUGCUCCUCUGACGUUAGCGGCGGACGGGUGAGUAACACGUGGAUAACCUACCUAUAAGACUGGGAUAACUUCGGGAAACCGGAGCUAAUACCGGAUAACAUGUUGAACCGCAUGGUUCAACAGUGAAAGACGGUCUUGCUGUCACUUAUAGAUGGAUCCGCGCCGCAUUAGCUAGUUGGUAAGGUAACGGCUUACCAAGGCAACGAUGCGUAGCCGACCUGAGAGGGUGAUCGGCCACACUGGAACUGAGACACGGUCCAGACUCCUACGGGAGGCAGCAGUAGGGAAUCUUCCGCAAUGGGCGAAAUCCUGACGGAGCAACGCCGCGUGAGUGGAGAAGGUCUUCGGAUCGUAAAACUCUGUUAUUAGGGAAGAACAAAUGUGUAAGUAACUAUGCACGUCUUGACGGUACCUAAUCAGAAAGCCACGGCUAACUACGUG
This 497-nucleotide ribosomal RNA is filed under the name uncultured bacterium. RNAcentral's name for it is "partial 16S ribosomal RNA". It matches the Rfam family "Bacterial small subunit ribosomal RNA", at positions 28 to 507 of the family's 1533-position model. The record is from RNAcentral.